This 393-nucleotide ribosomal RNA is filed under the name uncultured bacterium. RNAcentral's name for it is "bacterial SSU rRNA". It matches the Rfam family "Bacterial small subunit ribosomal RNA", at positions 29 to 409 of the family's 1533-position model. The record is from RNAcentral.
AGCGAACGUUAGCGGCGGGCCUAACACAUGCAAGUCGAGCGAGAAAGGGGGUUCGCCCCCCGAGUACAGCGGCGGACGGGUGAGUAACACGUAGGUAAUUUUCCCUUGAGCGGGGGACAACGUUCCGAAAGGGACGCUAAUACCGCAUAAGUUCUUGGGUGCUUCGGCACUGGAGAGGAAAGCUAGGCCGCAAGGUCUGGCACUCGAGGAGAAGCCUGCGUCGCAUCAGCUAGUUGGUGGGGUAAUGGCCUACCAAGGCAAAGACGCGUAGCUGGUCUGAGAGGAUGAUCAGCCACACUGGGACUGAGACACGGCCCAGACUCCUACGGGAGGCAGCAGUGGGGAUAUUGGGCAAUGGGCGAAAGCCUGAUCCAGCAAUGCCGCGUGAGUGAU